RNAcentral lists this long non-coding RNA (1316 nucleotides) under Pogona vitticeps (central bearded dragon). RNAcentral describes it as "lncRNA (ENSPVIG00000011661.1)". Lineage: Eukaryota; Metazoa; Chordata; Lepidosauria; Squamata; Agamidae. The record is from RNAcentral.
CUCCCCCAUUUCUCCCCCCCUUCCUUCCCACUGAGGGUUCUCCCUACGGAUCCCCGGAGCGGCUGGCUUAACACCGCGACAUCCCCCCCCGUGAGGCGGGAGGAUUGGACCAAGAAGGCAGAUGUCUGAUAAAUAUCAUGUACGGAUCAAAAUGAAACCAUCCGUUUGGUACUCCCUCUGCUGGCUUCCAAGAAAACCAACAAACCAGCUUUCAGAGCACUUGGAGAAGGAGUCUUCCUGGCAAUUAACAUCGCAGACUAGGAGUUAUAACUCUUGCAGGAGUCCAGGGUUGGUAGAACAGCCUGCCUUUCCAGGGUUCAUUGUGAACCCAGGGCUGCCAAAUAAAACAGCAGCCGUCAUGUUGCUAUGAUCAACUGAUGGAAGAGAAAAGGGCAUCAAGAAGACCCAGAAGUUGGCUCUGGUUGCUUUUCAAGCGACAACCGGGCAGAACAGCCACAGCUGGAAAGGUGAAGACCAAAAGUGACUGUCGCUAACCAGGCUGCCAGUGAGGACUCUGUUGUGUUUCCUUAGCUUGCCUCUGCCACAGACGAGGACUCCUGUUGGAAACCUAAAUCAGGUCAGUUAAUCAUUGGCUUUCCCGAUUCUCCUGGGAUGAGUGAAAAAAAGAUACAGUGGUGCUUUGCUUAACGGCGAUAAUCCGUUCCAGGAAAAUCGCUAUUAAGCAAAAACAUCGUAAAGCGGAAAAAAACCCAUUGAAAUGCAUUGAAGCCCCUUCAAUGCGUUCCAGUGGGGUCAAAACUCACCGUCCAGCAAAGAUCCUCCAUAGGGCAGCCGUUUUCGCUGCCUGUCUUGCGAGGAAUCCGUCCCAGAAAACAGCGGGGAGCCAUUUUGUUUACCCGGCGGCCAUUUUGAAACUGCUGAUCAGCUGUUUCAAAAUCGUCGUUUUGCAAAGAAUCGGUUCCCGAAGCAGGGAACCAAUCAUCACAAAGCGAAAAAAACCCUUUUAGACCAUCGUUUUGCGAUGGUACCGAUGCUUCAUUCCCAACCAACAUGAAUUCUGCCCAGUUACCCCAACCCUUCUGGCUCCCAUUAUUUCUCGCUGGACACAAUUGGGCUGAAUGGCAGACGUUGCUGUCAUGGGCAUAAUAGCCAGCAACUUGCAUUUAAAAACAAAAGAAGUGACCCCUAAAGUCCCCCAGUUCAAGUUCUGUGCCCAAACAGAAUGGCUGUAUAGAACUAUGGGAUCUGCACAACAGUAUCUUUGCAUUCUUGACCUUUCAUCUGUUGAUCAUACUUCACAAGAACCGGCUCUUGAGGUUACUUUCUAAGAAAAAAAGGUUGAAUAAACUACUGCC